RNAcentral lists this ribosomal RNA (215 nucleotides) under Campeiostachys nutans. Its description in RNAcentral is "Elymus nutans partial small subunit ribosomal RNA". The stretch from base 38 to 215 matches the Rfam family "Eukaryotic small subunit ribosomal RNA", at positions 684 to 864 of the family's 1831-position model. Lineage: Eukaryota; Viridiplantae; Streptophyta; Magnoliopsida; Poales; Poaceae. The record is from RNAcentral.
GGAUCAAUUUGCUGGUCGUGCCUCUGGUACGUACUGGUAUUAUUGGUUUCUCCCUUCUGACGAACCAUGAUGCCAUUAAUUUGGUGUUGCGGGGAAUUUGGACUGUUACUUUGAAAAAAUUAGAGUGUUUAAAGCAAGCUAACGCUUGAAUACAUUAGCAUGGAAUAAUGAAAUAGGACGUUCGAUCCUAUUUUGUUGGUUUUAGGAUCAACGUA